AUUGAACGCUGGCGGCAGGCCUAACACAUGCAAGUCGAGCGGAUGACGGGAGCUUGCUCCUUGAUUCAGCGGCGGACGGGUGAGUAAUGCCUAGGAAUCUGCCUGGUAGUGGGGGACAACGUUUCGAAAGGAACGCUAAUACCGCAUACGUCCUACGGGAGAAAGCAGGGGACCUUCGGGCCUUGCGCUAUCAGAUGAGCCUAGGUCGGAUUAGCUAGUUGGUGGGGUAAUGGCUCACCAAGGCGACGAUCCGUAACUGGUCUGAGAGGAUGAUCAGUCACACUGGAACUGAGACACGGUCCAGACUCCUACGGGAGGCAGCAGUGGGGAAUAUUGGACAAUGGGCGAAAGCCUGAUCCAGCCAUGCCGCGUGUGUGAAGAAGGUCUUCGGAUUGUAAAGCACUUUAAGUUGGGAGGAAGGGCAGUAAGUUAAUACCUUGCUGUUUUGACGUUACCGACAGAAUAAGCACCGGCUAACUCUGUGCCAGCAGCCGCGGUAAUACAGAGGGUGCAAGCGUUAAUCGGAAUUACUGGGCGUAAAGCGCGCGUAGGUGGUUUGUUAAGUUGGAUGUGAAAGCCCCGGGCUCAACCUGGGAACUGCAUCCAAAACUGGCAAGCUAGAGUACGGUAGAGGGUGGUGGAAAUUUCCUGUGUAGCGGUGAAAUGCGUAGAUAUAGGAAGGAACACCAGUGGCGAAAGGCGACCACCUGGACUGAUACUGACACUGAGGGUGCGAAAGCGUGGGGGAGCAAACAGGAUAAGAUACCCUGGUAGUCCAAGGGCGGAAUUUCAUAAUGGAUAUCAAGCUUAUCGAGACCGUCGACCUCUAGGGGGGGGCCCGGUACCAAGUUUUUAUUUCUCUUUAUUUAGGUUUUAUUAAAAGGC
Molecule: ribosomal RNA, 885 nt
Filed under: uncultured Pseudomonas sp.
Lineage: Bacteria; Pseudomonadati; Pseudomonadota; Gammaproteobacteria; Pseudomonadales; Pseudomonadaceae
Description: bacterial SSU rRNA
Rfam family: Bacterial small subunit ribosomal RNA
Source: RNAcentral